Molecule: long non-coding RNA, 1230 nt
Organism: Ziziphus jujuba (common jujube)
Lineage: Eukaryota; Viridiplantae; Streptophyta; Magnoliopsida; Rosales; Rhamnaceae
Exons: 4
Source: RefSeq, a predicted model, not a curated record
AAUGUCUACCUUAGAAAGUGUAGAUUGAGACACGACUAUGACAUGCAGUACAUUGGACAGUGGCCAGAGCUGGUUUAGCCGUUCCUCCAUUUUCUUCUAUUCAACUUGUGCUCACCAUGGCUAUGGAGAUCACGGAAAAAAUUUCAAUGGAGCAAAAGCGUAUGCUCUUGUAUCUAAUACACACGCAGUGGGACCCACUGUGGGAGCACUAGAAUUUUUUUUUCCCACACCACAACCUCUGCAACCCUUUCCUCCCUCCUCUCUCUCUCUCUCUCUCUCUCUCUCCCCUACCCAACACCACCACCACGACCACCAUGAAAAUUAACCUUGUCUUUACUUCCUUCUCUAUCCUCAUCGUCCUCUUCGCGCCACACCGUAAUUUUGAAAACAGAGCCAAACCCUAACCCUCGACAUUGACACUUCCUUGUUCGAGAGGAUAUGUCAGUUUUGAGCCUCCAGAAAUCCCCCAAGGCUUUUUCGUUUUCUCCAUCCUCAACCUGUCCUUCGGCGUUAGGGUUCUGAUGGAUUCCAUAUGGGUGAAGAAAGAAAACAGGUGGAUUUUGGUUCUAAAAGGUCAAAGAAUGAGAUCAAACUUGGAAACGGCAAUUGUCAUAUAACCACACGCAACCUCUUAACAAAUUUGCAAAACCAGCAACGUUCGUGAGCAAGGACCUCUGAGAAUUCGCUAGACAUUGAAUCAGUUUUGAGAUUAAUGUUGAUGGUACUAGAGAUGGAAUAAUUUCAAGGGAUAUCAGAAGCCAGAGCCAUACCAGCUUCAUUUGCUAAUUUUUCCACUUUCCAAACUUUUUUAAUCAGGGUCUUGAUCUUGCUCUCUGGUUCAAAGGUUUAGAUGGACACCGGAAGCCGUGGUACGUUUGACCUCGGCUACUGCAUCCAUCUACUCAAGCUAAGAGGUCUUUUCCAAUGCGAUACAAACUCUUUUACCGUCAUUUCUUGAACAACUGCUUCGAGGUUCAGUCCAUGACUUCUUUUGCUAAGUUUGCCAAGUCUGUGAAGAAAAUGGUUCGGAUUAAAAAUGUUAAAACAGGGUCUGAGGGUAAAAUUAGGAAGGUCUGUGUUUUGGUGAAUGUAUAGAGUCUUAGCAAUAAUAUUAUUCUAUCGCAGCAAUAAUAUUAGAGAUAUUAAAAUGUUUAUUAAAUUUAUUUAUUAAAUGAUGUGAUUUUGGAUGUGAUAAUAAUUAUUUGUUUAUUUUAAAAUUUUGUUUUUUUA